Non-coding RNA from Bos taurus (domestic cattle), 72 nucleotides. The record is from Rfam. NCBI's taxonomy places the organism in Eukaryota, Metazoa, Chordata, Mammalia, Artiodactyla, Bovidae.
UCCCUGGUGGCUCAGACAGUAAAGCAUCUGCCUACAAUGCAGAAGAACCAGGUUCAGUCCUUGGGUUGGGAA